This 321-nucleotide long non-coding RNA is filed under the name Ictidomys tridecemlineatus (thirteen-lined ground squirrel). RNAcentral describes it as "lncRNA (ENSSTOG00000033261.1)". Lineage: Eukaryota; Metazoa; Chordata; Mammalia; Rodentia; Sciuridae. The record is from RNAcentral.
AUCCAAUCAGGGAAAGGUUAUGAGUCUGAGAUUAUAAUUAUGGUGUCUCCCUGUGUCUCCUGUGUGGUAAGAAGCCAGCCUUGGCAGCGUUAGCUAAAAGCAAGCUCAGUUCCUCCUCGGAGCAGCCCCUGGACCUCAGAUUACUGCCAGACCCUCCAGUGCAUGCACGCGGCCCACCCCCUUGACCCCCAAGAGAAGUGGAUCUGUCUGCUCCUCACUGCUUCUCUCCAACCAGGAGAAACUGGAAUUCAUGUUCACAAGGACGCCAGCCUGUGGGUGAUGUGUCCUCAGAUCCAGUCCUCGCCCUGCCCAUGUCCAUUA